CAGGUUGGACCGUCUUUCAUAUAUCUACUGACUUCAUAUAAAUGAAAGUCUCGCUGAUCUGCACUACCAGCUCGUUCAACGUUACUGAACAACAAAGUAAUCCGACAAUCAGACUGGACCCGGUCACGUUAGAUACCAGAGGAAGACGAAAAUAUAAUUGAUUCUGUACUGAUGCAUAACUUCGCUCGGAACGCGGCAAGAAUUAACAAUGGAAGAAAAUACUACAGACUUGUUUAUUAACGAUAAAGUUAUUUUAGUUUUUAUGAAAUAGCGAUUGAAUAAAAAUAUUAGGUAUA
Long non-coding RNA from Leguminivora glycinivorella, 296 nucleotides. RefSeq lists it as uncharacterized. The transcript is spliced from 3 exons. Lineage: Eukaryota; Metazoa; Arthropoda; Insecta; Lepidoptera; Tortricidae. The record is from RefSeq and is a predicted model, not a curated record.